GUCCAGACUCCUACGGGAGGCAGCAGUGGGGAAUAUUGCACAAUGGGGGAAACCCUGAUGCAGCGACGCCGCGUGAGCGAAGAAGUAUUUCGGUAUGUAAAGCUCUAUCAGCAGGGAAGAAAUUGACGGUACCUGAGUAAGAAGCUCCGGCUAAAUACGUGCCAGCAGCCGCGGUAAUACGUAUGGAGCAAGCGUUAUCCGGAUUUACUGGGUGUAAAGGGAGCGUAGACGGCGACGCAAGUCUGGAGUGAAAGCCCGGGGCCCAACCCCGGGACUGCUCUGGAAACUGCGGCGCUGGAGUACGGGAGGGGCAGGCGGAAUUCCUGGUGUAGCGGUGAAAUGCGUAGAUAUCAGGAGGAACACCGGUGGCGAAGGCGGCUUGCUGGACUGCGACUGACGUUGAGGCCCGAAAGCGUGGGGAGCAAACAGGAUUAGAUACCCCGGUAGC
Molecule: ribosomal RNA, 448 nt
Filed under: uncultured bacterium
Lineage: Bacteria
Description: partial 16S ribosomal RNA
Rfam family: Bacterial small subunit ribosomal RNA
Source: RNAcentral